This is a long non-coding RNA of Galleria mellonella (greater wax moth), 1353 nucleotides long. RefSeq lists it as uncharacterized. The transcript has 2 exons. The record is from RefSeq and is a predicted model, not a curated record. NCBI's taxonomy places the organism in Eukaryota, Metazoa, Arthropoda, Insecta, Lepidoptera, Pyralidae.
UUAAAAUUGCCGUUCGUACUGCGAUAUCAUAGUUUGGGUGCCGAAUGGUUAGCACUAGGCUCAGAACAACGAUCUAUUAAUUUGCCUGAAGAUGCUUUGGGGUCUAUCGUGAAAUGAAAUUCUGAAUUUUCACACUCAAUUUCGUGUUUUUGGUAAUACCAAAAUCUUUUCAGUAAAUAAAGCAUUUUCGUUCGUGAUAAGUCAUACCAUAAAAGUCCAAAUGGACAAUAUUUUAAUAUUUUAAAACGGCCGUCCCGUUUAGAGAUGAAACACGUGUUGCAAAACGUGUGCGAACAAAAUGGCGGUCGAAGAUUGUAUGGAGGGUUGCGGAACUUCUGAUAGUAACAGUGGUGGUAACAAACUAAUGGUAACGGAAUUAAACAAACAAAUUAUGGUAAACCUUUGCACGAUUUUUUUAUUAGUGAAAUAAAUCAAGGUGAUAUAAUUCAUGUUCAACAUUAAAGGAAAAAUGGUUAAAAAAAUAAAUUUGACAGCUAUGUUUUUUUUUUUGCAAUGGACAUUAAAAAGGUAUGCAGACACGAUCAAGUUAGAGUGAACUUGUUCUUUUAUAUAAUUUUUGGGCAUUGUUUGUUUUAGUUACAAUUUUCCAAAACAGGUAGUGAACCAUAAUUAUGUAUGGAUGAUAAUGGACUGCUAACCCUGCGCAGUAAUAAGUGAGAAUAAAGGUCGACCUGACAGGAUAUAUUGCUAGCAAUCCGUUCUCCCCAAUAAAUUACGUUUUACAAACAUGAAAAUUUUAAACAACAUUUAGAAAAUUUAUUUAAUUUGUCAUUAAAAAUAUCAAUAUAUGGCGGCUGAGUAAUCAGUCAUAUUGUUUUAGUCCUCACCUGCUGCCAACGUGAAGGAACAGUUUUCGGAUACAUCUAAAUUCAAACUUAAAUCCAAUUUAUUCCGUCUCUGCUCGCGUCUUGCUUCGUAGAAUUGUCGAAGAGUAGCUGUUGAUUCUUGAGGGAAGUCCAGAAAGUCUAAAAAAAGUUUAAUAGUCUAAUUCCAACCUUUUCAUACAGAAACAUCACGAUAGGUAAAAAUAGUUAAUUUUAAACCUACAUAUCUGCUUCUUUAUUGCCGAAACGUCGGCAAUAAAAAAGCAGGUAUAGAGGUACUAUUUACCUGCAAACGUUUUUUCAUUACGUUAAGGUCCGAUUGUGUAUUUGAGAAAAAAGUAAGCAAUGUUGUAUGAAGGUUCAUUAAUAAUCUUUCUUUUCUAAUUUUUGUAAAAGGACAUAGCCUGUUCAGCCUAACUACCUUUGUCACCUAUUAAAAACCAAAUAGAUUUUUUUAAUCAAAUAAAAAAUAUUACGAAUUUUUCAAUAAAUUAUUCAUUAUUACUUA